GACGAACGCUGGCGGCGUGCUUAACACAUGCAAGUCGAACGAAAAUACCAAGCUUGCUUGGUUGAUUAGUGGCGAACGGGUGAGUAACACGUGAGUAACCUGCCCCUUACUUUCCUGGAUAACUGCUCGAAAGGGUAGCUAAUACGGGAUAUUCUGACCAGCCUGCAUGGGUUGGUUUGGAAAGGUUGUUUUUCUGGUAAGGGAUGGGCUCGCGGCCGAUCAGCUUGUUGGUGGGGUGAUGGCCUACCAAGGCUUGGACGGGUAGCCGGCCGGGGGGGGUGGGAGGUCACACUGGGACGGGGAUACGGCCCAGACUCCUACGGGAGGAAGCAGUGGGGAAUAUUGCACAAUGGGCGCAAGCCUGAUGCAGCGACGCCGCGUGAGGGAUGAAGGCGUUCGGGUUGUAAACCUCUUUCGUCAGGGAACAAGGCACUGCUUUUUUGGUGGUGUUGAGGGUACCUGGAUAAGAAGCGCCGGCUAACUACGUG
Molecule: ribosomal RNA, 488 nt
Filed under: uncultured bacterium
Lineage: Bacteria
Description: partial 16S ribosomal RNA
Rfam family: Bacterial small subunit ribosomal RNA
Source: RNAcentral